AUUGGAGAUCUACUUACACCUUAUGGGUUUUAUCCCUUUGAGUGGAUCAAUGAGUGUCCAUAUACUGUUGACCUUCAUGGACUCCAUUUCAGAUUUUAUGGCUCCAAGCCACUAAUUGGAGUUGGAUCUCUGUAUGGCAUCCAUGUGGGUGAUCAGAUCCUUAUUGUUCUCAUCGAGUUCAAUAGGAUCAUGUCCUGAAAUUAGAAACUGAAGUAUCUAUCUGAUGGAUGCGGUACUCUACCGAA
This 245-nucleotide long non-coding RNA is filed under the name Elaeis guineensis (African oil palm). Its description in RNAcentral is "long non-coding RNA (EGUI_LNC081326)". Lineage: Eukaryota; Viridiplantae; Streptophyta; Magnoliopsida; Arecales; Arecaceae. The record is from RNAcentral.